AUUGAACGCUGGCGGCAUGCCUUACACAUGCAAGUCGAACGGCAGCACGGGUGCUUGCACCUGGUGGCGAGUGGCGAACGGGUGAGUAAUACAUCGGAACGUCCCUUAUCGUGGGGGAUAACGCAGCGAAAGCUGUGCUAAUACCGCAUACGCCCUGAGGGGGAAAGCGGGGGAGCGAAAGACCUCGCGCGAUUAGAGCGGCCGAUGCCUGAUUAGCUUGUUGGUGGGGUAAAAGCCCACCAAGGCGACGAUCAGUAGCUGGUCUGAGAGGACGAUCAGCCACACUGGAACUGAGACACGGCCCAGACUCCUACGGGAGGCAGCAGUGGGGAAUUUUGGACAAUGGGGGCAACCCUGAUCCAGCAAUGCCGCGUGAGUGAAGAAGGCCUUCGGGUUGUAAAGCUCUUUUGUCAGGGAAGAAACACCGGCUCUAACACAGUCCGGGAAUGACGGUACCUGAAGAAUAAGCACCGGCUAACUACGUGCCAGCAGCCGCCGUAA
RNAcentral lists this ribosomal RNA (501 nucleotides) under uncultured bacterium. RNAcentral describes it as "partial 16S ribosomal RNA". It matches the Rfam family "Bacterial small subunit ribosomal RNA", at positions 29 to 523 of the family's 1533-position model. The record is from RNAcentral.